AGUAAUAUGUCUGAUUAAAAGAUAUAUUUUGAUAAAAUAUUUAUGUAUAAAAUUUUUAUACUAUUACUA
Molecule: transfer RNA, 69 nt
Filed under: Bombus waltoni
Lineage: Eukaryota; Metazoa; Arthropoda; Insecta; Hymenoptera; Apidae
Description: tRNA-Ile
Source: RNAcentral